RNAcentral lists this non-coding RNA (124 nucleotides) under human gut metagenome. RNAcentral's name for it is "THF riboswitch". It matches the Rfam family "THF (Tetrahydrofolate) riboswitch aptamer". From Rfam's summary of the family: THF riboswitch presents a pseudoknot that joins P1-P2 and the loop of P3 and two THF binding. The record is from RNAcentral. RNAcentral also lists the same sequence under 3 other names.
GCAGAGUAGGUGACCGCGCGUCAGCUCCGCAUAGCGGGGCGCAGUGCCGGCGGAACGGGGAGUUGUCCGCCGGACGAAUAACGCAGUAAUAGGCGUUUGCGGUGCGUCCAUCGAAUCCCGCUGC